AGUUUGUUUAUAGUAUAGUUAGUUGUAUAAUAAAUAGAUGAAAGGUUAAGUAAAGAUUAAAGUAAUUAUUUAAUGUAGUAGUGGAGAGAUUAUAUAAGGUAGUAUAUAAUCGAUUUAUUGUUUAAAUGAUUUUUUAGGUAUUAGUCGUUGUGUUUUUAGAGGAGGAUGUAAGUAUUGUAGUUAAGGGUAGUUAGGGAAGGUUUUAUGAAAAAGGU
This 215-nucleotide unclassified non-coding RNA is filed under the name Hevea brasiliensis (rubber tree). Lineage: Eukaryota; Viridiplantae; Streptophyta; Magnoliopsida; Malpighiales; Euphorbiaceae. The record is from RNAcentral.